GUCCACGCUGUAAACGAUGAGCACUAGGUGUCGUGGGUAUUGACCCCCGCGGUGCCGCCGCUAACGCAUUAAGUGCUCCGCCUGGGGAAUACGGCCGCAAGGCUAAAACUCAAAGGAAUUGACGGGGGCCCGCACAAGCGGUGGAGCAUGUGGUUCAAUUCGACGCAACGCGAAGAACCUUACCUGGGCUAGACAACGGUGGACCGCUCCAGAGAUGGGGCCUUCCCUUCGGGGACCUCCGGUUCAGGUGCUGCAUGGCUGUCGU
RNAcentral lists this ribosomal RNA (265 nucleotides) under uncultured bacterium. RNAcentral's name for it is "partial 16S ribosomal RNA". It matches the Rfam family "Bacterial small subunit ribosomal RNA", at positions 793 to 1055 of the family's 1533-position model. The record is from RNAcentral.